This 76-nucleotide transfer RNA is filed under the name Gallionellaceae bacterium. Its description in RNAcentral is "tRNA-Ile". It matches the Rfam family "tRNA". From Rfam's summary of the family: Transfer RNA (tRNA) molecules are approximately 80 nucleotides in length. Their secondary structure includes four short double-helical elements and three loops (D, anti-codon, and T loops). The record is from RNAcentral. Lineage: Bacteria; Pseudomonadati; Pseudomonadota; Betaproteobacteria; Nitrosomonadales; Gallionellaceae.
GUCUGAAUAGCUCAACUGGCAGAGCGGUGUGUUGAUAACGCACAGGUUCCCCGUUCGAUCCGGGGUUCAGACACCA